RNAcentral lists this unclassified non-coding RNA (317 nucleotides) under uncultured Prochlorococcus sp. Its description in RNAcentral is "partial may contain 16S ribosomal RNA, 16S-23S ribosomal RNA intergenic spacer, and 23S ribosomal RNA". Lineage: Bacteria; Bacillati; Cyanobacteriota; Cyanophyceae; Synechococcales; Prochlorococcaceae. The record is from RNAcentral.
CCUGGUAACUAAAUUUCCGGAGAAAAAUUUGUAGAUGUGACUUAGAUUUGUCUAUUUGAAAAGAUCCUAGCUUCUUAUCAUCUUCAUUAGAGUUGAUAAUAUGCUGGGCUCACAUGGAUUUGUUCCAUGAGAAUUCAGUAGAACCUUGAAAACUGCAUAGAUUAGAAAGAAUAAAGCAUCUCAUGGAUGCAUAAUUCUAUAUUGAUGAUUUUGCCUUAAAACUAAAUUAGAUAUAUAGGAUUCAUGUUUAAUUCUUGAGUAAUAGCCGAGCACAAUUGAUUUUGUGAUUGUAUUUAAGGUCAAGCUACAAAGGGCUC